GACGAACGCUGGCGGCGUGCUUAACACAUGCAAGUCGAACGUGAUUUUUGUGGAAAUUCUUUCGGGAAUGGACAUGAAAUGAAAGUGGCGAACGGGUGAGUAACACGUGAGCAACCUACCUUACACAGGGGGAUAGCCGUUGGAAACGACGAUUAGUACCGCAUGAGACCACAGAAUCGCAUGAUAUAGGGGUCAAAGAUUUAUCGGUGUAAGAAGGGCUCGCGUCUGAUUAGCUAGUUGGAAGGGUAAAGGCCUACCAAGGCGACGAUCAGUAGCCGGUCUGAGAGGAUGAACGGCCACAUUGGAACUGAGACACGGUCCAAACUCCUACGGGAGGCAGCAGUGGGGAAUAUUGCACAAUGGGGGGAACCCUGAUGCAGCGACGCCGCGUGAGCGAAGAAGGUUUUCGAAUCGUAAAGCUCUGUCCUAUGAGAAGAUAAUGAUGGUAUCAUAGGAGGAAGCCCCGGCUAAAUACGUG
Molecule: ribosomal RNA, 478 nt
Filed under: uncultured bacterium
Lineage: Bacteria
Description: partial 16S ribosomal RNA
Rfam family: Bacterial small subunit ribosomal RNA
Source: RNAcentral